ACAAUGCUGGGCGCGCGGACCUUACGGAAAAAAGCUGGAGGCUCCUGGAGGAGCGUUAAGAAAUGCAGUUCCGGGGCUCUUAAGGACGUGGAGGGGCUUUGCUGACUCCUAAACUGCAAGUAACCAGAUUUUCCCGGAGAGCAGUCUAGGACAAGUCUGAGAAAUAUUUCAGAGACCUGUCGUUUCAGAUUCUCUGAAGCACAGCAAGUCCCGAAAGGAAGAACAUCAGAAGCGACAUGGCUGACCAUAAUGAACUGGUCCUCCAUUCAUAGCGGUCAGCUCUUUUGUGCUUGUCAAGUACACACAUACUGAGGCUCUGGAGACUUUUUUUUGAUCGUUAGUGUGCUUCUGUUGGGACAAGAAAGAAAAGACCCACACAGGAUGUGAUGGAGAGUUGAAGGAGGAAUAUCUUUCUGUCGACGAAAAGGGUGGAACUUUGUGAAAUAGUUGAAGAGAUUUAUUCUGAGACAAAUAUGAGUGACUAAUGGCCCAUGACACGGCUCCAAGAUAUCCUAAGAACAUAUGCCCAGGGUGGCCCAUCUACAGCUUGGUUUUAACAAUUUAGGAAGACGUAAGACAUCAAUCAAUACAUGUAAAAUGUACAUUGGAUUCCUCUGGAAAGGCGCAACUGGAAGGGAGGGGCGGGGCUUCCAGGUCAGGUGGGUUCAAAGAUUUUCCGAUUGGCAAUUGGUUGAAAGAGUUUGUAUCUAAAGACCUGGAAUCAGUAGAAAUGGUUGUCUGGGUUAAGGGGUUGUGGGCCGGGCGUGGUAUCUCACGCCUGUAAUCCCAGCACUUUGGGAGGCCGAGGUGGGCGGAUCACCUGAGGUUGGGAGUUCGAGACCAGCCUGACCAACAUGUAGAAACCCCAUCUCUACUAAAAAUACAAAAUUAGACGGGCAUGGUGGCACAUGCCUGUAAUGCCAGCUACUCGGGAGGCUGAGGCAGGAGAAUCGCUUGAACCCGGGAGGCGGAGGUUACGGUGAGCCGAGAUCUCGCCAUUGUACUCCAGCCCGUGCAACAAGAGCGAAACUCCGUCUCAAAAACAAAAAAAGACAAGGGGUUGUGAAGACCAAGGUUAUAUCAUGCAGAUGAAGCCUCCAGGUAGUCUUAUAAGGCCUUAUGAUAAGGCCUCAGCUCCUGAGCUAAAGCUAUCUUCCCACCUCAGCCUCUAGAGCAGCUGGGACUGUAGGUACAGGACACCGUCCCUGGCUUUAUUCAGCUUUUUACAAUGCACUACAAAAAGUCGGCAUUUAGAGCUAUUUUUCUCUCACUGCAAUUGAGUAGCAGUGAGAGAAAAAUUGAGUAGCAAUAGUAUUGCCAUCAGGUGGUGGCAAUACUACCUGAAAACCAUGCCCCCAACAAAUGAAGAUUUGGAUAAUGCCUUAUGGUCUCUUCUGCAGGAUUAGUGAAGGAAGAACAAAGAAAAGACCAAAAAUUAAAACCCAUUCUCUUUAUAUUCAGAAAAGGAAAGGGCUAUUUUUUGGCCAAAGCGUUACAAUUUAGUUUGCCAACCAGUUUAAAAAAAAAAAAAAAAGGAAAAAUUAACUCUGCCCAACUGAAGGUCUGGCAAAAACAAACCUUUGAAAGGGUUGUGGGAAAUUAAUGAAUAUUAAACUAAUUUUCAACAUAACCAGUUAAAAAUAAGAAAUCCCACUAACGUGGAUAGUUCCUUAUUUAGGUGUGAGAAAUUUGCUAUACAAAUGGACAACGGCUACACCAAAUAUAAAAAUUGACUCUGACCCAUAAUCUACACCAACCCAUUCAGAAAUCUAAUGUGGUAUCUACAGUAACCACUCCCAAGUCAGAAUACUAUGUCUAGCAACAAGGCCAGGAAGCCAGACAACAUCCCACAUAACAACUCGCUUAAAAUGGCUAAGACAUGACUAAGAACUGACAGCUUUCUAAUUGUUGCCCAUAUGUUCAACUUAGGACCAACUGGAGAAAGUCAGUGCAUCACUAGCCAAUCACAUAGGAUGUCAACCUUCUAAAUAACCCCUUCACACACACACACACACACACACACACACACACACACACACACUCCUCAAGACUAUAGCCUCCAGUCAUGGCAUACCUAAUACUUUACCUUUUAUCUACUAUGAAGCUUUUUACACCUCUGCUUGCCUUUCAAGCUCUGCUGAGUGCAAGAGAUUGUGGAUGACUCCUUUACUACGGUGUGGUCUGAUUUAAUAGGCUAUGUUUGUUCUCAUUUGGGUCUUCAUUUAUUUCCAAGUUGUCUGUUUGCAGUCCAUGAAUGCUACCAUUAAGCAUACUUCUUACUAAUGAAGGUGCAGUGAACAAAGGAUUGAUAUAAUUAGAUGUGACCAUUGUAGAAAUUAUGUUACAAUGUAUCAUACUUACAGAGGUCCCAGUGAAAUAACGUCUAACCUGUUCAUCACCAUGGGCCAUAGUCAUCAAACAGGUAUAGUAACCACAGAGGUCCUUUAUGCUUUGCUCUUCACACCUUGUCAAAUCCAUGAUGACAUGUUAAGUUAGCAACAAGUUUGAACACUACUGUCUUUGCACUGGGUUUCUUGGCUAUUUAGACUCUGUUUAGUCCCCCCCACCUUUUUUUUUUUUUUUUUUUUUUUAAGACAGAGUCUCACUCUGUUGCCCAGGCUGCAGUGCAAUGGCAGGAUCUCAGCUCACUGCAACCUCCACCUCCCAGGUUCAAGCAAUUCUCCUGCCUCAGCCUCCCGAGUAGCUGGGACUACAGGCUCGUGCCACCACACCUGGCUAAUUUUGUAUUUUUAGUAGAGACAUUGGCCAGGCUGGUUUCGAACUCCUGACCUCAGGUGAUCUGCCUGCCUCAGACGCCCAAAGUGCUAGGAUUAUAGGUGUGAGCCACCGCGCCCCGCCUCCUUUUUUUUUUUAAUUGGCUCCCGUGACAUUGCCAUCCUUGAUAGUAUCACACCAUUUCUUUUCAUCUCUUUUUGCUAUCUUAUAUGUAACAGUUUAGUGAUGUACUUUCUUAAAGCAUUGUCAUGAAGAGGAUAAUAAUAGGGUAAAACUCAAGCAUAGGCUGGGCGCGGUGGCUCAUGCCUGUAAUCCCAGCCUUUUGGGAGGCCGAGGCAGGCAGAUCACCUGAGGUCCGGAGUUCGAGAUCAGCCUGACCAGCAUGGAGAAACCCCAUCUUUACUAAAAACUCCAUCUUUACUAAAAAAUACAAAAUUGGCCAGGCAUGCGCCUAUAAUCCCAGCUACUCGGGAUGCUGAGGCAGGAGAAUUGCUUGAAUCCAGGAGGCAGAGGUUGCAGUGAGCCAAGAUCACGCCAUUGCACUUCAGCCUGGGCAACAAGAGUGAAACUCCGUUAAAAAAACAAAAACAAAAAAAACUCAAGCAUAGGCUCUAGUGACUUGUUUCAGCUAAUAUCACAGACCAAGGGUUUUCUGAUUCUCAACAGACUGGUGACCAUUUGGACAGACUUUGCUUUGGGUCACUGAUAAAAUGGGAUAAGAUUCUCUUAUCUUCUUUUUCUUUUUUUUUUUUCUUUUUUGUCCAGAGAAUUAGGCAUUCAUUCAGAAAGAGUAUUCUCAGAUUUUCUGCAUGCUGAGGUGUGAAGAUUGUCGUGUUCUUGUGGGGAAGUAGCCACCUAUCAUGCUGUAGAACCAGGCCUAAGGUACAUAAUCAUUACACUCCUCUCAGACAGUGCCAGCACUUAUUGGAUCGUCUAAAUUGAAAUCGUCUCCUUUCCAGGAAAGUCUCCUGCAUGUUAUAUGUACUCUGAUUACAAUCACAAUUCUAGUGUUUAGGUUUCUAAGUGGCAUAACUUCACCCGGAUAAUUUUUGCCUUCAGUGGCUACUAGGAGGAACAUUUCAGUUGAAAAGAAAACAAAAACUGUUAAUUUAAGAGAUGCAUUAGAAAAGAAAGAAAACAAAAUUUCUCAGGCCCAGUAAGCAGUAGUUUUUUAUUGGAAUGAAUCGUAUUUGUACAAUCUCCAAGGUUCUGAAUAAAAAAUUGUUUCAGUAAAAAUUUCCUUGAAUAAAGCCAUUGAACAAUUUGGCAAACUUAAGCAAUAUCCUCCCCCUCCUAUUCCUCUAGUUGCUGCCUUAUAUCUAACUCUUCUACUUCCCCUUUACCCUUCUAAUCUUUCUCUUUUUUUUUUUUUUUUUUUGAGACAGAGUCCUGCUCUGUCAUCAGGCUGGAGUGCAGUGGCACAAUUUCGGCUCACUGCAAUCUCUGCCUCCCGGGUUCAAGUGGUUCCCCUGCCUCAGCCUCCUGAGUAGCAGGGACUACAGGCACGCACCAUCACGCCCAGCUAAUUUUUUGUAUUUUAGUAAAGACGGGGUUUCACCAUGUUGGCCAGGAUGGUCUCAAUCUCCUGACCUCGUGAUCUGCCCACCUUGGCCUCCCAAAGUGCUGGGAUUACAGGCGUGAGCCACCGUACCCUGCCUAAUCUUUCUCCUUCUGCACCUCCUCCCUCUUCUAUCCUUUGCCCAGGCCCCCUUUAUUUUCCCAAAAAAUAUCCUAAAAUUCCAAAAUGCCAAUUACCUCUAAAGAUCUAUGCUUUCAAGAGCCAAGUAUGUAGGCAACUGUCAGAUGUAAACCUUGGACCCAGGAUGAAUUAACAGCUGCAACUAAAGAUUUCUCUAAACCCAAAUAAGACUAGCAUGUGUUCAUAGAGAAAUUUCGAAUUCUUUCAUAUGCAUAUGACCCAGAGUUAUGUGACUUACACCAUGUUAUGGUUUAAACCUUUGUCUUCUCCAAACUCAUGCUGAAAUCUAAUUGCCACUGUAACAAUAUUAAGAGGUGGAACCUUUAAGAGGCUUCAGAUCAUGAGGGCUCCACCCUCAUAGGUGGACUAAUGCUAUCAUCGCAAGAAUGGGUUCUUAUUCCCUCUUGCUGUCUCUUUGCUCUUCUACCAUUUGAUGGCUUCUGUCAUGUUAUGAUGCAGCGAGAAGGCCCUCACCAGAUGCUAGUAUCUUGGUAUUGGACUUCCCAGCCUCCAAACUACGAGCCAAUAAAUGUCUCUUCUUUGUAAAUUACCCAGCCUGUGGUAUUCUGUUAUAGAAGCACAAAACAGACUAAGACAUGCCACUUGUAUACAUGUUGGUGUGAACCUCAGAUGAUAAAUCCUGAAUGAUGAAAGGUGAUUAGACUGACCUGGAUAGGCAGCUACAGGGCACCUUUUUCCACAAUAAACCACAAUAAAACUAUAGGUCAAAAAGGCUAGGAAAUUAAGAUCAAGUCUCCUAAAAGCCAUACCUCAAAUGUUUUCAAUCAAAAUCCAUUCGAACAGAGUAGCUACAAUUAAAAGAAACAGAAGAACACAACAAGUGUUGUCAAGGAUGUGGAAAAAUUAGAAACAUGUGCCUUUUGAUAAGAAUGUAAAAUGAUGCAGCCACCAUGGUGGCUGUGCACCUGUGGUCUCAGCUACUCAGGAGGCUGAGGUAGGAGGAUCACUUGAACCUGGUAUUGGACUGUGGUAAGCUGAGAUUACACCACUGCACCACUCCAGCCUGAGUGCCAGAGGAAGACCUGCCUCAAAAAAUAAAA
Molecule: long non-coding RNA, 5496 nt
Filed under: Homo sapiens (human)
Lineage: Eukaryota; Metazoa; Chordata; Mammalia; Primates; Hominidae
Description: non-protein coding lnc-VN1R1-1:4
Source: RNAcentral